This 464-nucleotide ribosomal RNA is filed under the name uncultured bacterium. RNAcentral's name for it is "partial 16S ribosomal RNA". It matches the Rfam family "Bacterial small subunit ribosomal RNA", at positions 338 to 795 of the family's 1533-position model. The record is from RNAcentral.
CCUACGGGAGGCAGCAGUAGGGAAUUUUCGUCAAUGGGCGCAAGCCUGAACGAGCAAUGCCGCGUGAAUGAGGAAGGUCUUCGGAUCGUAAAGUUCUGUUGAAGGGGAAAAAGAGCGGAGAGAGGAAAUGGUCUCCGAUUGAUAUUACCCUUCGAGGAAGUCACGGCUAACUACGUGCCAGCAGCCGCGGUAAUACGUAGGUGGCGAGCGUUAUCCGGAAUGAUUGGGCGUAAAGGGUGCGUAGGCGGCCUGCUAAGUCUGGUGUGAAAGGUACCGGCUUAACCGGUACAGGCUCUGGAAACUGGCGGGCUAGAGAGCAGGAGAGGGCGGUGGAACUCCAUGUGUAGCGGUAAAAUGCGUAGAUAGAUGGAAGAACACCAGUGGCGAAGGCGGCCGCCUGGCCUGUUACUGACGCUGAGGCACGAAAGCGUGGGGAGCAAAUAGGAUUAGAUACCCGUGUAGUC